GGGCAAAGCCGCUGAAAGGCGGUGACGCAAAGCUAUGAGUCUACGGUGGGUGACCGCUAUGAUUGUCAAGCUGC
This 74-nucleotide non-coding RNA is filed under the name chicken gut metagenome. RNAcentral's name for it is "Cyclic di-GMP-I riboswitch". It matches the Rfam family "c-di-GMP-I riboswitch aptamer", at positions 10 to 83 of the family's 87-position model. From Rfam's summary of the family: GEMM was predicted in a large-scale screen for bacterial structured RNA regulatory elements. Genes associated with GEMM are involved in a diverse array of functions, including chemotaxis regulation, signal transduction, secretion and chitin. The record is from RNAcentral.